This 798-nucleotide ribosomal RNA is filed under the name uncultured Glomeromycotina. RNAcentral describes it as "SSU rRNA". It matches the Rfam family "Eukaryotic small subunit ribosomal RNA", at positions 314 to 1114 of the family's 1831-position model. Lineage: Eukaryota; Fungi; Glomeromycota. The record is from RNAcentral.
AUCAACUUUCGAUGGUAGGAUAGAGGCCUACCAUGGUUGUAACGGGUAACGGGGUGUUAGGGCACGACACCGGAGAGGGAGCCUGAGAAACGGCUACCACAUCCAAGGAUGGCAGCAGGCGCGCAAAUUACCCAAUCCCGACACGGGGAGGUAGUGACAAUAAAUAACAAUACGGGGUUCUUUCGGAUUUCGUAAUUGGAAUGAGUACAAUUUAAAUCUCUUAACGAGGAACAAUUGGAGGGCAAGUCUGGUGCCAGCAGCCGCGGUAAUUCCAGCUCCAAUAGCGUAUAUUAAAGUUGUUGCAGUUAAAAAGCUCGUAGUUGAAUUUCGGGAUCAAAUUGUCGGUCGUGCCUCGGUACGUACUGGUAUUAUUGGUUCCUCCCUUCUGACGAACCACGAUGUCAUUAAUUUGGUGUCAUGGGAAAUCAGGACUGUUACUUUGAAAAAAUUAGAGUGUUUAAAGCAGGCUCGCGCUUGAAUACAUUAGCAUGGAAUAAUGAAAUAGGACGUUUGAUUCUAUUUUGUUGGUUUCUAGGAUCGACGUAAUGAUUAAUAGGGAUAGUUGGGGGCAUUAGUAUUCAAUUGUCAGAGGUGAAAUUCUUGGAUUUAUUGAAGACUAACUACUGCGAAAGCAUUUGCCAAGGAUGUUUUCAUUAAUCAAGAACGAAAGUUAGGGGAUCGAAGACGAUCAGAUACCGUCGUAGUCUUAACCAUAAACUAUGCCGACUAGGGAUCGGAUGAUGUUAAUUUUUUAAUGACUCAUUCGGCGCCUUACGGGAAACCAAAGUGUUUGGGUUC